CCUACGGGGGGCUGCAGUGGGGAAUUUUGGACAAUGGGCGCAAGCCUGAUCCAGCCAUGCCGCGUGAGUGAAGAAGGCCUUCGGGUUGUAAAGCUCUUUCGGCCGGAACGAAAUCGACCGGGUUAACACCUCGGUUGGAUGACGGUACCGGAAGAAGAAGCACCGGCUAACUACGUGCCAGCAGCCGCGGUAAUACGUAGGGUGCAGGCGUUAAUCGGAAUUACUGGGCGUAAAGCGUUCGCAGGCGGCUGACAUCCCCGGGCUUAACCUGGGAACUGCGUUUGAAACUGGGAGGCUAGAGUGCGGCAGAGGGAGGUGGAAUUCCACGUGUAGCAGUGAAAUGCGUAGAUAUGUGGAGGAACACCGAUGGCGAAGGCAGCCUCCUGGGCCAGCACUGACGCUCAUGCACGAAAGCGUGGGGAGCAAACAGGAUUAGAUACCCUAGUAGUC
This 450-nucleotide ribosomal RNA is filed under the name uncultured bacterium. Its description in RNAcentral is "partial 16S ribosomal RNA". It matches the Rfam family "Bacterial small subunit ribosomal RNA", at positions 338 to 795 of the family's 1533-position model. The record is from RNAcentral.